RNAcentral lists this long non-coding RNA (1498 nucleotides) under Macaca mulatta (Rhesus monkey). RNAcentral describes it as "lncRNA (ENSMMUG00000051225.1)". The record is from RNAcentral. Lineage: Eukaryota; Metazoa; Chordata; Mammalia; Primates; Cercopithecidae.
ACAGUGUGACGUCCAGCACUGUUUUCUGCUCAGCUGCGAGGGAACCUCCCCAAGCCUCCCCACCACCCUUUUCCUAAGCAGAUGUGGGGGCCUUGGAGGUCAAGAAGAGCUAGUGGGGGCCCUGUUCUUGGCUGUCGUUUCAAGCGGCUUCUCCAAGGGGUUGACAGAGCCCUGGGCCCACGUGGACGGAUGAUGAUGACAAAUGACCCGCGGGGGGAGACAGUGGCACACGGGGACCAGCGGAGUGAGCCGGCCUCGGCUAUCUUGUUGAGCGCCUGGGAAUGGAAUUGGAACAGGAACCCCGGUAAGUGACUGGAAUGAGGGCCUGACCGAUGGGAAUGAACCAGAGACACCGGCAUGAUGUGAAAAUGACUGAGAGAGGCGCCCUGCCACGCUGGUUUUAUAGUUUGGCAUCACAGCGAGAAAAACAACAAAACCCAUCUUGCGUGUGGUGAAGGGCGGCUCAGGCAGCAAGAGGGUGCGUAAAUUCCAAAACAACUGCGAGAAGACCAGAGGCGCCGGAGCUCUGGGGAUUCGGAGUCAUUUUCAGAAAUAAGGCGGGUCGCAAGGUCCAUGCCUGUAAUCCCACCACUUUGGGAGGCCAAGGCGGGAGGAUGACCUGAGCCAGGGAGGUUGCAGUGAACCCAGAUCACGCCACUGCACUCCAGCCUGGGUGACACAGCGAGACCCUGUCUCAAAAAAAAAAAAAAAGAAGAAGCAAGAAAGAAGCACACAGCUGGGGAUGUUUUGAUGAAGACUCUGCUCUCCUGGGCCCCAGAACACCCCGAAGUAGGCUGCAGGAGCCGGAAGCCCCGGCACCUGAAGAUGCGAAGCUGGGCUGGGAGUUGCUCGCUGGCAAGACAGGACUUGGGACACGCACCUGCUCUGCCCGUCCAACCUCACCCCGACCACCCAGGAGGGGAAGCGUCGUGGAGGCCACUUCGCAGGUGGGAAGAUCAAGGCCCGGGGCCAUGUGCGAUGCCCCCCAUCCAAGGUGCAGCCCAGGAAGGCAGAACAAACCGCAGCUCCAGCCCUGCCCCCACCCACUAGCCAGGGGCCUGCAGCUCCUGACUCAGCUUUCCCCAUCAAAUGGGGGCUCGUCCUGCCCCACCCAGGUGGGAGACCCGAGCUUCCAGGCUCAUGGGAGUGCGUGCGUGCAUCUCGCGUCCCAGUCAUGCGGGUAGCAGGCAUGCGUGGGCAGGGCCAGAGCUGGGUGACAAGCCGUGUCACAACACCCUCAGGCUCCCGAAUGGGACUUUUCAGGGGUGAGGGCCCAAAGAAGGGAGGGGGAGGCAGGGGCUGCAUCACUCGUGAAGGGGCAUCAGGACCCCCAGCCCACGCGUGGUCCCACGUCUGAAGUCCACCGGACCAGGAGAUUGGUCCAGGCUCACACCCACUGAGAUGGCAGGAGGCAGGGGUGGCACGUGGACAGACAUGGGUCCCAGAAUCCAGGCAGGGGAAAGGUGGAGGGUGUGGUCUGUUCUAGCUGUACCCGGGC